CUAGUAUUAUUCUAGUUUUAUAAGAGGAUUGUCUUAAAAUUUUAGCAUCGGAUAAAAAUAAAACUUUAUUGAUUAAUAGUUAAGGAUGGAGAUAGAGGAACAUUAUGAAUUAGGGUAUUACUAUUCCCAAAUUACAUUGCUAUAAAUUUAAUUAGUAUACACGUGCAUUAGAUGAAAAUCUUUUAAUAGUGACUUAUACAUUUCUAUGUCUUAACCUAGACAAUAUAAAUAAAAUUGAAAUACUAUACACCCUCCCUAUGUGUCCAAAUCAGAGCGAGGCUACACCGGAACACGAACACCAAAACGCAACACCUGAGAAACUGAGCUCCCAAGUGCUCAGUCAAAUAACAAAUAACAGGGUGAGUUUAUGUAAUAGGCAAAAAAAAAAAGAAUAGGAAAUAUACAACAAGGUAUAAACAUGAUUAUAUCACAUUAAUAAUUCAUGCAACAUUUAUACCAUUUAAUCAACACCUCAAUUUACACAUCACUAAUCAAUUAAUUAAAUCAAUCAUACAACAUUAAUUACUUAGAAUAUCGGAGAUAUAUUACUAAAUAUCCAACUCAUCAUUACACAUCAUUUAGCACCCACUAAUUAACACACACAAAUUAUCACUUAUCAUUUAGUGUGCAAUUAUGCAAACAUCAAUUAACAAUUUAUCAGUCACACAACAUUUCAUCUAUUGAAAUUAAGUAUGCAAUGUCUCCCUAAACACGACUUAUAUUCAUGUGGUACCCAUCAUCAUAAUUUUGGAAAACUGAUUCCAAAUGUUUUAGAUCAUCGUCUCUAAAACAACAGUAAACUAGAUCAUCGUCUCUAGAAUACUCAUCAAUAAACACCACUUAUGAAUGCAUGAAUGUGCAUAUACCAAACAUAUGGUUUUAUCUCAACUAUAACAUCAACAUAAUAUGGAUAACUUAAUCCAAAUAUUCUAAAUCAUCGUCUUUAGAAUACACCUACGCAUGAUAAAUCCUUAUUUAUCAUCAUCAAUAAAUUGAACAUCCUAGUUAUAUUCAUGAACAAUCACACCUUGUCAUUGUGCAUAAGCACGAAAACACCGUCAUUGUGCAUACGUGCGAACACAUCACUAAUACACCAAAAGAAUUCAUACACCAAUAAAAUUCAUCAUUUAGUACACAAAUAGAAUUCAUCAAUAAUCCACGUCAAUGAAACUUCAUCAAUAAACUCACAAAUAAAGUUUAUCGAUUAAAUACAUUAACUAACACAUCAAUUUAGUUUCAUUCAUAUAUUCAUCACGAAUAUCUUUUUGAAGAUUAGAUAAAAUAAUUUAGCUAAUCCUAACUCCACUCAACUACAUUCUCUAUAUUUCCCAAAAUUCUUACUUAUUCUUUACUAGAUUCGUUUUAAUUCGAAAACAACUUCUCCUAAUUAAUCACUAAGUUUUAUCAUGAAAAGUAGUGAUUUAAACUCUCCUAAACUCACCUAAUAAUUAGGAUAAAGUAGUAUAAAGAUUAGGGAUAAAAAGGGAUGGGAAAAAUAGACCUAACAUCACACAACAACGCAAACCAGAGUUGCAGGACUGCGAUUUGCGCAUGAUGCGCUAGCUUUGCGCAUGAGGCGCAAAAGACAGCAUCCACCUUCAGAAUUUUGCAGGUUUUGACCUGCUCACUGCACAGACCAUAAGUUGAGCUACGUAUAUCGGAUUUCAAUGCGUAAACAUGAGUUGAAAAUCUAAGGAAAAGAUCUACAACGUUUAUGUUGACGUCAAAAAUCAGUUCAGAACGCAAAGGGCUCAAAUUUUAACGUUUUUGCUUCAGACUUUAUCAAAAACUGUUUUUCUUAAACUAUAAAAAUUCAAUCUUUGAUUUUCCAAAAACCCAAUUUGAAUCCCAUUAGUCCUAAGAUUUAACUAAUCAACACUCAUGAUAUUUGAACCUCAACAAACAUCAUUCCAUCAACAAUCAACCCCAAAUCAGCAAGAUUCAUCAUCAUUAAUUCAUUAAAUCAUAUAAAAACCCAUUUUUCUCAAAAAACACACAAAUGAACAACACAACAAGAUAACAUGGAUUUUCUCAUAUAUGAUUCAAACAUGAAUCUAAAAGCAUCAAUAAGAUUAUUCACAACUAAAACAACAACCUACACCCAAGGGUUUUAUCACAAAACCCAAAUCUAAUGAGAGGGAUGAAGGAUCUUGGGAGAUGAGAAUGAAUUUCAUUCUCUCCCUUCAUCAACCAACCUCUACCCAUAAACAAAACUCCCCUUACCUCUAAUAAAAUGGAGAAAUGUUGGUAAGUUGACUUGAUCAAUCCUUGAAUUCCUCUUCUUUCUCUUUGUUCAUCUUCUUAUUCUUCCUCGCUAACUUUCUCCCAAACCCUUUUCUUUCUCUAUUCUCUUCUUUCUCUACGUUUCUUUUCUAUCUCUACCUCUUCUCAAUUCUCAAUU
Molecule: long non-coding RNA, 2401 nt
Filed under: Trifolium pratense (red clover)
Lineage: Eukaryota; Viridiplantae; Streptophyta; Magnoliopsida; Fabales; Fabaceae
Description: long non-coding RNA (TPRA_LNC003210)
Source: RNAcentral